AGUUGAAAAGUAAGUUGGAAAAAGCGAAAAGUCGGGUAACGGUAGUCGAAAAAAACAACAACAACACUACACAGCUGCUAUAUUGUGCGAUUUAUGAAAAACAACACAAAACAUAAUAGCAUUUAACCUUUGAAAAAAGAAAUAAACGAAAGUGUUUUUGUUUUCAAUCUGGUUUUGUGGUUGCGCAUUAAGUUCAUUGAUAAACAAAAAAAAAAAAAAAAAUCGCAAAAAAUCUUCUAAAAAUAAAACCAGUGACGCCGCUGAAGACAAUACAACAACAAGCACAAGAAAAAUAAAUAGCUGUUAGAGAGAUAAUUCAAGAAUAAACAAGACAAGAUGUGCGGUGGAUUUACGUGUUCAAAGAAUGCAUUAAUUGCGUUAAAUAUUUUAUAUGUGAUGGUGGGCUUCCUCUUGAUUGGCGUUGGUGUCUAUGCUCGUGCUGCUUCAAUUGUUACAAAUCUUCCCAUUGUUGGUGGCAUAUUGGCUUGCGGCAUAAUCUUAAUACUCAUAUCGAUAUUAGGAUUAGCCGGUGCUGUUAAACAUCAUCAAGUUAUGCUGUUCUUCUACAUGAUCAUUCUGUUCUUGCUCUUCCUCAUUCAAUUUUCCAUUGCCAGCUCUUGUUUGGCCGUGAACUCGGAGCAGCAACAAGAAUUUGCCGAAGAAGGAUGGAACACAGUGCCCGCCUCCAUGCACAAACAGGUGCAAGACACAUUCCUGUGUUGUGGCUUCAACUCAACCAAUACCACUGGCACCUCAGCGGAAGCCUCAUGCGAUUUGGUCAACAAACAGUGCUGUGCGGGCUCAUUCGACUCAAAUUGCCAGUGUCCACCAUGUUUGCCCAAGUUGGAGGAUAAAAUCAACUAUGCCUUUAAGUUGUGUGGUGGUUUGGGUAUUUUCUUCAGUUUUACAGAGUUCAUUGGAGUUUGGUUAACUGUGCGCUAUCGCAAUCAAAAAGAUCCUCGUGGAUUACCCAGUGCUUUUCUCUAAAUACACAAAACGAAAUUCAAUGAAAUUGAAUAUUUAUACGAAAAUCAAUAAUUUAUACAAUUAACAAUUAUUUGAUAAUUUUUUCUAAUUUCCCACAAAAUUUGCAAAAGAAGGGAAUAACACACCCACACACACACAUAUUCAAACUAAUUUCUAGUCAUGUCUUAAGAAGUCGUCUCUUUCGGACUUUCUGAUAGUAUUCACAAUGAAUCUCUUCUACAGAGAAUUUGUAGAAAAACAACAACAACAUUCACUAUUUUAGAUCUUUUACAAGAGAAAAAAGAACACACACACACAGCAACAAUACAAAAAAAGAAUGACAGAUAAUAAUAAACGAAAUGUAAUGUUUAUGAAUAAACACUCAAACACACAUACAUACAUACAUACAUACAUACAUACAUAGUUAUACCAUAAUUAAAAUACAAUUACCAAAAACACCACUCUUACUCAUAAUGAAAGAAAGAAAAAAAGAAAAAAUCAAUACUACUUAUUAACUAAUUAACCAUCGUCAUCAUUAUAUAGGCAUUGAAAGAAGUAUUUGAUUUAAUUUUGCAUUUAGGAUAUUUAUUUAACCAUAACACAUUAGUCAUUAGCCUACCAUACAAUACUUACAUAGGCUUAACGUCAUUAUACACAUACCACAUGUUUCUAUACAUACAUACAUAUAUACAUACAUAUAAUAUAUACUAUAUAUACAACAUAAGAGAAUAUAUUAUGUACUUAUAUCUAAGUCUAUACAUACUUAAAUAUUUAGAAAGACAUUAGCAUAUAAAAAAGUCCGUUUGUCCAGGCCAUUCGGAAUGUAAUCAAACUAUCUAUCUAUCAAUCUAUCCAAUCAUUGUCAUCACACUUCUUUCGAGUACAGCCUUCGUUUUGUCAUGCUCCAACUCCUUUUCCCUCCAUUCCCUACUGACUUAUUAUUCAGAAUGUUUUUAGUUUCUUGUUCACAUAUCCAAAAGGGUUUCAUAGCCAAUUAAAGUUGACAACAUUGUAUUGAAUAUCCUUCUUAUCCUAUCUAAAAACAAUGAUAUAUUCCCUCUGGAAACAUCGUCAUAGCGACAUAAAUUCCUAUUUUAGCACGCAUAUAACAAUCUGGAGAGUCAAAAAAUAUUGGGUACUUGCUGUAUUCUUAGCCCGUCGCUAUCGCAAUCAAAAUGAUCCCGAUUAUUUGCCAGCCCGUGCCGUUUUUCCCCGCAAUUAUA
RNA transcript from Stomoxys calcitrans (stable fly), 2189 nucleotides. It is a transcript of the gene named tetraspanin-13, with no coding region annotated. The record is from RefSeq and is a predicted model, not a curated record. The transcript is spliced from 5 exons. Lineage: Eukaryota; Metazoa; Arthropoda; Insecta; Diptera; Muscidae.